Molecule: ribosomal RNA, 382 nt
Filed under: uncultured eukaryote
Lineage: Eukaryota
Description: partial 18S ribosomal RNA
Rfam family: Eukaryotic small subunit ribosomal RNA
Source: RNAcentral
CAAUAGCGUAUAUUAAAGUUGUUGCAGUUAAAAAGCUCGUAGUUGGAUUUCUGGUUGAAGCGAUCGGUCGGGCGUUGAUUCGUCUGCACUGGAGUCGGUUUUGGCCAUCCUCUAGGAAAGUGCGUCUGGUAUUAAGUUAUCGGGCGUAUGAUCCUGGUCUUUUACUGUGAAAAAAUUAGAGUGUUUAAAGCAGGCCUUCGCCUUGAAUACAUUAGCAUGGAAUAAUAAGAUAGGACUUUGGUCUAUUUUGUUGGUUUGCAGACCGAAGUAAUGAUUAAUAGGGAUAGUUGGGGGUAUUUAUAUUCCGAUGUCAGAGGUGAAAUUCUUAGAUUUUCGGAAGAUAAACUUAUGCGAAAGCAUUUACCAAGGAUGUUUUCAUUAA